GAGUUGGGGUUUGUUGGCUGUGGUGUGAAGAAGGAGUCAGUGCUGUGGGGAGAUCCCCAUGAGAAAUCACCGAGAAGGAAUCCCAGGAAAACAGCAGGGCUCUGUGUUGAAUGUAACUGAACUAUAACUUUGCCAUUUCACUCUGAUGUAAGUUCAUUGGGAUAAGAUGGCUUGAGAAGGAGUGUUUCUGGGCCUCGUUUCAGCGGGGCGCUGUGCACCAACCCACCCCAGCCCUAGAGCAAUGGGGCCGGCUCCUUCCCGUCUGCCCCAUGCUUGUCUUCUCCUACAACUCAAAGAUGCUGCUGCACGGCACCUUCAGGAUAAAAGGACUUCUGAGCAUCAUGGAAGCUAUCUGUUUGCAUGUACAUCCUGUCACCAAGCCACGGCCCCGCGCGCUUGCACACAUUUCCCUGGGCCUGGCAGAAAUAAUCAGCGUACAAGAGGGAGGGGAAGAAGCCCUAGGCUUCCUCUGGAUCAACAUCAGUGCACACGUUCCUGCUGCUUUGGCAACACAUGGGUGUACCUCACAGAGGACUUUCUGCACAGCAGCAGCACUUGGAUUCUGACAGAUAAAGGUUUCAGUAGUGCCAGCAUAUAGAAAUACAGCUUUUCACACAUUGAUAAUGUCAUGUAAUUUAAAUGUCUAGAAGUGCAGC
Molecule: non-coding RNA, 656 nt
Organism: Zonotrichia albicollis (white-throated sparrow)
Lineage: Eukaryota; Metazoa; Chordata; Aves; Passeriformes; Passerellidae
Source: RefSeq, a predicted model, not a curated record